UACGUAGGGGGCGAGCGUUGUCCGGAAUUAUUGGGCGUAAAGAGCGUGUAGGCGGUCCGGUAAGUCCGCUGUGAAAGUCCAGGGCUCAACCCUGGAAUGCCGGUGGAUACUGCCGGGCUAGAGUCCGGAAGAGGCGAGUGGAAUUCCUGGUGUAGCGGUGAAAUGCGCAGAUAUCAGGAGGAACACCGAUGGCGAAGGCAGCUCGCUGGGACGGUACUGACGCUGAGACGCGAAAGCGUGGGGAGCGAACCGG
Molecule: ribosomal RNA, 253 nt
Filed under: uncultured bacterium
Lineage: Bacteria
Description: partial 16S ribosomal RNA
Rfam family: Bacterial small subunit ribosomal RNA
Source: RNAcentral